GGGGAUUUAGCUCAGAGGUAGAGCGCUUGCCUGGCAAAUGCAAGGCCCUGGGUUCAGUCCCCA
This 63-nucleotide transfer RNA is filed under the name Rattus norvegicus (Norway rat). It matches the Rfam family "tRNA". Rfam says of the family: Transfer RNA (tRNA) molecules are approximately 80 nucleotides in length. Their secondary structure includes four short double-helical elements and three loops (D, anti-codon, and T loops). Further hydrogen bonds mediate the characteristic L-shaped molecular structure. tRNAs have two regions of fundamental functional importance: the anti-codon, which is responsible for specific mRNA codon recognition, and the 3' end, to which the tRNAs corresponding amino acid is attached (by aminoacyl-tRNA synthetases). tRNAs cope with the degeneracy of the genetic code in two manners: having more than one tRNA (with a specific anti-codon) for a particular amino acid; and 'wobble' base-pairing, i.e. permitting non-standard base-pairing at the 3rd anti-codon position. Lineage: Eukaryota; Metazoa; Chordata; Mammalia; Rodentia; Muridae. The record is from Rfam by way of RNAcentral.